GAAGAGAGCACUUGACUAAUUGAUCUUCGUUGCUUAUCUCGUGGUCUCACCUUCACCUUCUGCAGGUCUGCUCAGAUUAGCUGGAAAUGGGUCCACUCGGUGCUCUGGAAGGGUUGAAAUCUAUAAGUCUUACUAUGACUAUAACUCUUACUCUUACCGUUACGCCUCCUGGGGAACAGUGUGUGAUGAUGGCUGGGACUUAAAAGAUGCUGAGGUGGUCUGUAGAGAGCUGAACUGUGGGAUAGCACUGGAGGCUCUUGGGUCUGCAUACUUUGGUCAAGGUACAGGGACUAUCAUGCUUGAUGAUGUGGACUGUUCAGGAAGUGAAACUUCUCUAAAUGAUUGUCGUCACAGAGGACUUAGGACACACAACUGUGGCCAUAGUGAAGACGCUGGUGUGGUCUGUUCAGAAAUCCUCCCAGAGCCCACCCUCUCCUUGUACAGUAAUGAGGUCACCUGGGGUCAGGGCGUCAAAAUCAAUUGCUCAGUCUCAGAAAAGUUCUCAGGUGGAACUUUUAUCCUCCAGAAGACUUCAAGCUCAUUCAGUCAGACUAAACCAUCCUCUACGAGCUCUGUUAUAUUCAAUCUUCGCAAUGUGAACUUUGAUCAUGAUGGACUGUACCAGUGUCAGUAUAUGAAAAUAAGUCGAAGGUUCAGCUCUUCCUCUGUCAGACUCACUGUGAGACUGCAGACACCCAGCAUCUCCCUGACCUCUCCUAGUGCAGGUCUGGUCUGGGGUCCUGAAGGUGCAGAGAUCACCAGGGGUUACGGUUUUGUCUUCACCUGCUCCGUUAACUCCAGAUUUUCCAGUGGACGUUUCUUUCUCAUCUUCUCUGAGUCCAACAUCACAGACAGCAAGCCAGCAGUCAACAACUCAGCCUCCUUUAGUUUCCCUGUAGCUGAGUAUGAACACCAAGGCAACUACAGCUGUGUGUAUGAAGUCACAGUGUCCACACGGACAUUCAGUUCUACUGCAACAGCACCCAUUACUGUCAUCAUUAAAUUUCCUCGGAUGCUGCUGGUCUCGUCUGUAGUUGCUGUGGUCCUGUUGCUCCUGCUGGUCUUUUUGGUGGUCUUCCUGGUGCUCAGGAGAAGGAGACAAACACAGCUGGGCUACAGCCACACCAGAAUGACUCUAACAAUCUGUGAUGAAGAUGAUGACGUCAGUGAAAAAAGAUAUGGAUUCUGAGAGACUGAACACCAAAGAAAUCACACUGAACAAACAGGAAGAGCAGAGAAAGAGAAGAAAAGCAGAUGAAGAUCAAAGCAGUAGUGAUGAAAAUGAUCAUGUAUUUGCAACUCGGUCAUUUGGUGAACAAACUGUGGACCUUUGUAGAGAACAAAAAGAUGUUUAUCAAAAUCUUUAGGUUAAUAUUGAUUAACAUUGAUCCAUUCAGUUUAACACAGAAUAUCAGCCAGAAGAAACUAAAACUCUCGUAUCUUUCUACAAUGAGACUACCACGUGGUCAAAUAUUUCAUAUAGGUUAAGAUUAGUAGCUACAGUGUCCAUUAACUGAUCAUUUAAGCUUUUCUACUUUUCUUGGCUUACCGUAUUAUUGUCAUAAAUUGUCAUUUCUGUUACACUUUUAACCAGUUAUAAAAACAAAAAAAACACAAUUAUGUUCUAA
Molecule: long non-coding RNA, 1628 nt
Organism: Oreochromis aureus
Lineage: Eukaryota; Metazoa; Chordata; Actinopteri; Cichliformes; Cichlidae
Source: Ensembl